RNAcentral lists this ribosomal RNA (492 nucleotides) under uncultured bacterium. RNAcentral's name for it is "partial 16S ribosomal RNA". It matches the Rfam family "Bacterial small subunit ribosomal RNA", at positions 29 to 507 of the family's 1533-position model. The record is from RNAcentral.
AGUGAACGCUGGCGGUAGGCCUAACACAUGCAAGUCGAACGGCAGCACAGUAAGAGCUUGCUCUUACGGGUGGCGAGUGGCGGACGGGUGAGGAAUACAUCCGAAUCUACUUUUUCGUGGGGGAUAACGUAGGGAAACUUACGCUAAUACCGCAUACGCCCUACGGUUGAAAGCAGGGGAUCUUCGGACCUUGCGCGAUUGAAUGAGCCGAUGUCGGAUUAGCUAGUUGGCGGGGUAAAGGCCCACCAAGGCGACGAUCCGUAGCUGGUCUGAGAGGAUGAUCAGCCACACUGGAACUGAGACACGGUCCAGACUCCUACGGGAGGCAGCAGUGGGGAAUAUUGGACAAUGGGCGCAAGCCUGAUCCAGCCAUACCGCGUGGGUGAAGAAGGCCUUCGGGUUGUAAAGCCCUUUUGUUGGGAAAGAAAAGCAGCAGGUUAAUACCCCGCUGUUCUGACGGUACCCAAAGAAUAAGCACCGGCUAACUUCGUG